RNAcentral lists this ribosomal RNA (441 nucleotides) under uncultured bacterium. Its description in RNAcentral is "bacterial SSU rRNA". It matches the Rfam family "Bacterial small subunit ribosomal RNA", at positions 958 to 1398 of the family's 1533-position model. The record is from RNAcentral.
AACGCGAAGAACCUUACCUGGCCUUGACAUCCUCGGAACCCUGCAGAGAUGCGGGGGUGCCUUCGGGAACCGAGAGACAGGUGCUGCAUGGCUGUCGUCAGCUCGUGUCGUGAGAUGUUGGGUUAAGUCCCGCAACGAGCGCAACCCUUGUCCUUAGUUGCCAGCACUUCGGGUGGGCACUCUAAGGAGACCGCCGGUGACAAACCGGAGGAAGGUGGGGAUGACGUCAAGUCAUCAUGGCCUUUAUGGCCAGGGCUACACACGUGCUACAAUGGCCGGUACAAAGGGCAGCCAACCCGCGAGGGGGAGCUAAUCCCAUAAAGCCGGUCGUAGUCCGGAUCGGAGUCUGCAACUCGACUCCGUGAAGUCGGAAUCGCUAGUAAUCGCAGAUCAGCAUUGCUGCGGUGAAUACGUUCCCGGGCCUUGUACACACCGUAGUAC